CCUCUUUCAAUGUGUGCAUGUCUGUUCAUCUGUUUAACCACCCUGGCAUCUUCUCUCCUUGUUUCUAGACACUCAACUCUGAUACUCCAGCCCUGUGGCACCCCAGACCCUCUUCAGCUACAGCCACAGGUCCUGGGAAAGAAGUGGGAUCUAGGGCCCUGGGAGGAGGUUGAGCCUGGGGAAGGAAAAAGCAGGAAACUGAAGGAAGCAGGGGCUGAGGAACACUUAGAGGGUGGGCAGAAGCGGGGGUUCCCAGUCUGCUUGUCUCCCUUUCCCUUGCAGGCCUCUGGAGCCUCUCGCCUGGCCCGGACAUCUGGCCCCUCAGAGUGGCAGCUGCAGCAAGAGGCAGCUGAAGCCCUCGUGGGGCUGAAAGAUUCAUCCCAGGCUCCUCGUGUGACCCCUUCUGUGCCCCCCAACCCUGCCUGGAUCUCCCUGCUUCACCCCUGUGGCCCACCAGCUCCUGCUGGAGGAAGAGGAUUCCAGCCUGUUGGCCCCUGUCUUCGACCCAGCCCAGCCCCCUCU
RNAcentral lists this small RNA (522 nucleotides) under Pongo abelii (Sumatran orangutan). RNAcentral's name for it is "retained intron". The record is from RNAcentral. Lineage: Eukaryota; Metazoa; Chordata; Mammalia; Primates; Hominidae.